AGUAAAGUUAAUACCUUUGCUCAUUGACGUUACCCGCAGAAGAAGCACCGGCUAACUCCGUGCCAGCAGCCCGCGGUAAUACGGAGGGUGCAAGCGUUAAUCGGAAUUACUGGGCGUAAAGCGCACGCAGGCGGUUUGUUAAGUCAGAUGUGAAACUCCCCCGGGCUCAACCUGGGAACUGCAUCUGAUACUGGCAAGCUUGAGUCUCGUAGAGGGGGUAGAAUUCCAGGUGUAGCGGUGAAAUGCGUAGAGAUCUGGAGGAAUACCGGUGGCGAAGGCGGCCCCCUGGACGAAGACUGACGCUCAGGUGCGAAAGCGUGGGGAGCAAACAGGAUUAGAUACCCUGGUAG
Molecule: ribosomal RNA, 350 nt
Filed under: uncultured bacterium
Lineage: Bacteria
Description: bacterial SSU rRNA
Rfam family: Bacterial small subunit ribosomal RNA
Source: RNAcentral